RNAcentral lists this unclassified non-coding RNA (430 nucleotides) under soil metagenome. Its description in RNAcentral is "partial contains 5.8S ribosomal RNA, internal transcribed spacer 2, and large subunit ribosomal RNA". The stretch from base 1 to 120 matches the Rfam family "5.8S ribosomal RNA", at positions 35 to 154 of the family's 154-position model. The record is from RNAcentral.
GAUGAAGAACGUAGCGAAAUGCGAUACGUAAUGUGAAUUGCAGAAUUCAGUGAAUCAUCGAAUCCUUGAACGCAUAUUGCGCUCUCUGGUAUUCCGGAGAGCAUGCUUGUUUGAGUAUCAGUAAACACCUCAACUCCCUUUUCUUUUUUGAAAUUGGAGCUGGACUUGAGUGAUCCCAACGCUUUCUUCCAAGAAAGUGGCGGGUUGCUUGAAAUGCAGGUGCAGCUGAACGUUUCUCUGAGCUAUAAGCAUAUCUAUUUAGUCUGCCUAAAAAACAGAUUAUUACCUUUGCUGCAGCUAACAUAAAGGAGACUAGUUCUUGUGCUGACUGAUGCAGGAUUCACAGAGACAGCUUCGGCUGACUUUGUAAACUCGAUCUCAAAUCAAGUAAGACUACCCGCUGAACUUAAGCAUAUCAAUAAGCGGAGGA